This 19-nucleotide small nuclear RNA is filed under the name Arabidopsis thaliana (thale cress). Its description in RNAcentral is "snRNA_03473". The record is from RNAcentral. Lineage: Eukaryota; Viridiplantae; Streptophyta; Magnoliopsida; Brassicales; Brassicaceae.
UUUUUAUGGUCGUUGUUAU